AAGGAUCAUUAUCGUAAUAAAUUAAAAAAAAAUGUGUGAGGCGUGCGAGGGCUGUCGCUGACUUUCAAGUCGUGCACGCCGGAGUGUGUCCUCUCACAUUAAAUCCAUCUCACCCUUUUGUGCACCACCGCGUGGGCACCCUUUGGGAUCGAACCGAUCCAGGAGGGGGCUUGCGUUUUCACACAAACCCCUUUUAAAAUGUGUAGAAUGACCCCAUUUUUGCGAUAACACGCAAUCAAUACAACUUUCAACAACGGAUCUCUUGGCUCUCGCAUCGAUGAAGAACGCAGCGAAAUGCGAUACGUAAUGUGAAUUGCAGAAUUCAGUGAAUCAUCGAAUCUUUGAACGCACCUUGCGCCCCUUGGUAUUCCGAGGGGCACACCCGUUUGAGUGUCGUGAAAAUCUCAACCUUCUCGGUUUCUCCUGGACACCAAAGGAGGCUUGGACUUUGGAGGCCUUUGCCGGCGUCUCUCUCUUUUGAGAGCCGGCUCCUCUUAAAUGAAUUAGCGGGGUCCUCUUUGCCGAUCCUCGACAUGUGAUAAGAUGUUUCCAUGACUUGGUUUCUGGCUCUGUCGCCUUUGGGACCCGCUUCUAACCGUCUCGACGAGACGACGCUUGGGCGUGUCUCCCUUCUCGGGAGACUCUCUCAACCCCACGAACCCUUGACCUCAAAUCGGGUGAGACUACCCGCUGAACUUAAG
Molecule: ribosomal RNA, 701 nt
Filed under: Lactarius cf. sanguifluus CB08422
Lineage: Eukaryota; Fungi; Basidiomycota; Agaricomycetes; Russulales; Russulaceae
Description: eukaryotic LSU rRNA
Rfam family: 5.8S ribosomal RNA (bases 243-396)
Source: RNAcentral